GGAGAGGUGCCGGAGUGGUCGAACGGGGCGGAUUCGAAAUCCGUUGUACCUUCACGGGUACCCGGGGUUCGAAUCCCCGUCUCUCUG
RNAcentral lists this transfer RNA (87 nucleotides) under Pseudooctadecabacter jejudonensis. It matches the Rfam family "tRNA". Rfam says of the family: Transfer RNA (tRNA) molecules are approximately 80 nucleotides in length. Their secondary structure includes four short double-helical elements and three loops (D, anti-codon, and T loops). Further hydrogen bonds mediate the characteristic L-shaped molecular structure. tRNAs have two regions of fundamental functional importance: the anti-codon, which is responsible for specific mRNA codon recognition, and the 3' end, to which the tRNAs corresponding amino acid is attached (by aminoacyl-tRNA synthetases). tRNAs cope with the degeneracy of the genetic code in two manners: having more than one tRNA (with a specific anti-codon) for a particular amino acid; and 'wobble' base-pairing, i.e. permitting non-standard base-pairing at the 3rd anti-codon position. The record is from Rfam by way of RNAcentral. Lineage: Bacteria; Pseudomonadati; Pseudomonadota; Alphaproteobacteria; Rhodobacterales; Paracoccaceae.